CCUACGGGGGGCAGCAGUAGGGAAUAUUGCUCAAUGGGGGAAACCCUGAAGCAGCAACGCCGCGUGGGGGAUGAAGGUUUUCGGAUUGUAAACUCCUUUUGUUAGAGAAGAUAAUGACGGUAUCUAACGAAUAAGCACUGGCUAACUCCGUCCCAGGAGCCACGGUAAUACGGAGGGUGCAAGCGUUACGCGGAAUCACUGGGCGUAAAGAGCGCGUAGGCGGGAUGGCAAGUACGCUGUGAAAUCCUAUGGCUUAACCAUAGAACUGCCUUUGAAACUGUGAUUCUAGAGUAGGGGAGAGGUAGGUGGAAUGCUUGGUGUAGGGGUAAAAUCCGUAGAGAUCAAGAGGAAUACUCAUUGCGAAGGCGACCUGCUAGAACAUAACUGACGCUGAUGCGCGAAAGCGUGGGGAGCAAACAGGAUUAGAUACCCGAGUAGUC
Molecule: ribosomal RNA, 440 nt
Filed under: uncultured bacterium
Lineage: Bacteria
Description: partial 16S ribosomal RNA
Rfam family: Bacterial small subunit ribosomal RNA
Source: RNAcentral